This 492-nucleotide ribosomal RNA is filed under the name uncultured bacterium. RNAcentral's name for it is "partial 16S ribosomal RNA". It matches the Rfam family "Bacterial small subunit ribosomal RNA", at positions 29 to 507 of the family's 1533-position model. The record is from RNAcentral.
AGUGAACGCUGGCGGUAGGCCUAACACAUGCAAGUCGAACGGCAGCACAGUAAGAGCUUGCUCUUACGGGUGGCGAGUGGCGGACGGGUGAGGAAUACAUCGGAAUCUACUUUUUCGUGGGGGAUAACGUAGGGAAACUUACGCUAAUACCGCAUACGACCUACGGGUUAAAGCAGGGGAUCUUCGGACCUUGCGCGUUUGAAUGAGCCGAUGUCGGAUUAGCUAGUUGGCGGGGUAAAGGCCCACCAAGGCGACGAUCCGUAGCUGGUCUGAGAGGAUGAUCAGCCACACUGGAACUGAGACACGGUCCAGACUCCUACGGGAGGCAGCAGUGGGGAAUAUUGGACAAUGGGCGCAAGCCUGAUCCAGCCAUACCGCGUGGGUGAAGAAGGCCUUCGGGUUGUAAAGCCCUUUUGUUGGGAAAGAAAAGCAGCAGGUUAAUACCCCGAUGUUCUGACGGUACCCAAAGAAUAAGCACCGGCUAACUUCGUG